GCGGGAAUUCGAUUAGAGUUUGAUCAUGGCUCAGGACAAACGCUGGCGGCGUGCCUCAUACAUGCAAGUCGAGCGAGAAAGGGGCUUCGGCCCCGAGUAGAGCGGCGAACGGGUGAGUAACACGUGGGCAACCUGCCUCGAGGACUGGGAUAACCCCGGGAAACCGGGGCUAAUACCGGACGAUGUCGUCUCGCACAAGCGAGCCGACCAAAGGGUAGCUUCGGCCUCUGCCUUGAGAUGGGCCCGCGUCCUAUCAGCUUGUUGGUGAGGUAACAGCUCACCAAGGCUAUGACGGGUAGCUGGUCUGAGAGGAUGAUCAGCCACACUGGGACUGAGAUACGGCCCAGACUCCUACGGGAGGCAGCAGUAGGGAAUCUUGCGCAAUGGGCGCAAGCCUGAUGCAGCGACGCCGCGUGAGGGAUGAAGGCCUUCGGGUUGUAAACCUCUUUCAGGAGGGACGAAGCGCAAGUGACGGUACCUCCAGAAGAAGCCCCGGCCAACUACGUGCCAGCAGCCGCGGUAAUACGUAGGGGGCGAGCGUUGUCCGGAUUCAUUGGGCGUAAAGAGCUCGUAGGCGGCUCAGUAAGUCGGCCGUGAAAGCCCAGGGCUCAACCCUGGGACGCCGGUCGAUACUGCUGUGGCUAGGGUCCGGUAGAGGAGAGUGGAAUUCCCGGUGUAGCGGUGAAAUGCGCAGAUAUCGGGAGGAACACCAGUAGCGAAGGCGGCUCUCUGGGCCGGUACCGACGCUGAGGAGCGAAAGCUAGGGGAGCAAACAGGAUUAGAUACCCUGGUAGUCCUAGCCGUAAACG
RNAcentral lists this ribosomal RNA (809 nucleotides) under uncultured Actinomycetes bacterium. RNAcentral describes it as "bacterial SSU rRNA". It matches the Rfam family "Bacterial small subunit ribosomal RNA", at positions 1 to 808 of the family's 1533-position model. The record is from RNAcentral. Lineage: Bacteria; Bacillati; Actinomycetota; Actinomycetes.